Molecule: long non-coding RNA, 291 nt
Filed under: Hordeum vulgare
Lineage: Eukaryota; Viridiplantae; Streptophyta; Magnoliopsida; Poales; Poaceae
Description: long non-coding RNA (HVUL_LNC019263)
Source: RNAcentral
ACGUACGACCAUUUCCCUCCAGAGAGGUUACAAUGUACCGAGUGUAUCCAGUCGGUUAGCUUGGUAUUCUCCGAAUGCUAGUAUCCGACUGGAUGAUACAGGACCUGUUGCCGACUGGAUAAUGGGGACUCCUUAAUUCAGUCGGGGCAGACUUAGGGUCCUAUCCUUUGUGUGGGGUAGUCCUUGGGUAGGACCUGUAUGGCAGGCCUAUGACCCUACCCUAGGACUAUGACCCCAUCAGGUAGGCUGACAGGAAAAGGCACACUAGGAGGGAAAGCAAAAGUAUGUAUG